Molecule: ribosomal RNA, 208 nt
Filed under: Vibrio cholerae
Lineage: Bacteria; Pseudomonadati; Pseudomonadota; Gammaproteobacteria; Vibrionales; Vibrionaceae
Description: partial 23S ribosomal RNA
Rfam family: Bacterial large subunit ribosomal RNA (bases 1-186)
Source: RNAcentral
GUAGCUAAGUUCGGAAUUGAUAAGCGCUGAAAGCAUCUAAGCGCGAAGCGAGCCCUGAGAUGAGUCUUCCCUGAUACUUUAAGUAUCCUAAAGGGUUGUUCGAGACUAGAACGUUGAUAGGCAGGGUGUGUAAGCGUUGUGAGGCGUUGAGCUAACCUGUACUAAUUGCCCGUGAGGCUUAACCAUACAACACCCAAGGGGUUUUGUA